This is a long non-coding RNA of Gadus macrocephalus (Pacific cod), 1467 nucleotides long. RefSeq lists it as uncharacterized. The transcript is spliced from 2 exons. NCBI's taxonomy places the organism in Eukaryota, Metazoa, Chordata, Actinopteri, Gadiformes, Gadidae. The record is from RefSeq and is a predicted model, not a curated record.
UUGACAGAGGGCUUUCUCUUUUUUUUUCCCCCCGACCGGAUCAUAAUGGGAUUAUUAGACUCGGAGAAAUAACCCCAGCCUUCAAGGCUUUUCAGAUUUUGCUUUCAGAAGUGUGCCAUUAUCGUGUAUAUUAUUCUUACGUUAUAGUUUUUUUUAUUUCUGAGAGAGCAAAUAAAUAAACAAAAGAUUACUAACACCCUCUGUAGUGUAGCCUGUUUAUAAUUCAGCAGUAAAUAUAUAACCUAUAAUGUCAUAUAUAUAUCAAAAUAUUACGUCUAUUUAUGUCUACAUUAUAUAUCUUUUAAUUGAUCACAUAUGGCGUCUAGUCUAUCAAGGAGAACAUCGCCCCUCCGAUUGAGCAAGACAUUGCUUCAGGAACACUCCUGAAUUUGAUAUUCUUUAACCCAUGGAGUGUCAUCAUCACAUCGCUGAAGGAGCCCAGUAUUUACCCUGCAGGAGCACAGAGUCCCCCAGCCACUCUAGACACACACACGUCCAGACACAGGGAGCCGCUGCCCGCGUCACAACGCUCACGCAGACGUCUCCCGCGGCUACGUCAUGGAUGAGGAUGAGGCGUCACGCGUCGUGUGUGGAGGCUACCGACGCGUUUCGGUAAUCACUCCCAUGGAGCCGUUGACAAGAGGCCAGCUCUCUGAAGACGAGAGGCUGGAGGUCCAGAGGUCGAGGUAGUUCCGGCGUGCGUCACGACGCGCUGCCGCAGACGGCGAGGCAGAGAGAGAACGUAUUCGUGUCAACGUUCAAUGGGAAUUUAAUGAUCUAGGGUGAAACACACCCUUUGUUUACACUUACUUGAUUGAAUGUAGUACCUGAAUUGGAGAUACUACACAAACCCUUUCUAAUCUGUGGUUACUGUGUGCGUGUGUGUGUGUGUGUACGUGUCUGUGUGUGUGUCUGUGGGCGUCGGCCUGUUUGAGUGUGUGUGUGUGUGUGUGUGUGUGUGUGUGUGUGUGUGUGUGUGUGUGUGUGUGUGUGUGUGUGUACGUGUGAUUAUGUGCCUGUGUGCGUGUAUAUGGGCCUGUGUGUGUGUGUGUGUGUGUCUGUGUGUGUGUGUGUGUGCGCGUGUGUGUCUGGGUGCAUGCGUGUGCUUGUCUGUGUGUGUGUUUGUACAAGGGGAGAAAGUAAUCAUGUCUUUUAUACACUGAGCUUGAUCUCUGCUGUUGAAACCUCCUCCUGUUUAAACAUACGUGAAUACCCAAUUCCUGAAUAGUCUAGUAAUGUGGAUCCUGGUGUCUGACUAAAGUCUAGAUUCCCAGGGGUUUGGAACAUAACAUGACAAAAAGAGAGUUUCCAAAAUAAAAGUUUGUGUAAGAUAUUGAUUAUAAUAGGCUACAUUCACACAGAUGAUUUAUAUUGUCUGUUUUGGGGACUGAUUCUCACUCUGUUUUUUUCGGUUGCCUCAUGUUGCUAGAAGCUGAGGAGAUGUACAGAGUAAAGACUUUAACUCUG